GCCGAUGUAGCUCAGCGGUAGAGCAGCUGUUUCGUAAACAGCUGGCCGGCGGUUCGAUUCCGCCCAUCGGCUCCA
This 75-nucleotide transfer RNA is filed under the name uncultured Chloroflexota bacterium. RNAcentral's name for it is "uncultured Chloroflexi bacterium tRNA-Thr-CGT". It matches the Rfam family "tRNA". Rfam says of the family: Transfer RNA (tRNA) molecules are approximately 80 nucleotides in length. Their secondary structure includes four short double-helical elements and three loops (D, anti-codon, and T loops). The record is from RNAcentral. Lineage: Bacteria; Bacillati; Chloroflexota.